RNAcentral lists this unclassified non-coding RNA (290 nucleotides) under uncultured Agaricomycetes. RNAcentral's name for it is "sequence contains ITS2". Lineage: Eukaryota; Fungi; Basidiomycota; Agaricomycetes. The record is from RNAcentral.
AACGCACCUUGCACUCCUUGGUAUUCCGAGGAGUAUGCUUGUUUGAGAGUAAUGUAAUCAUCAAUUCAUCUUUACUUUUGUGAAGUUGGCUUGGAUUUGGGGAUUGCUGGCCUUUCAUUGGGUCUUGGCUUCCCUUGAAUGCAUUAGUUGAAUCAAGUUACAAUGUUACGUGUGGUGUGAUAAUAUCUUCACUGCAUAGUUGUAAUGAAGUUUGGCUUCUAACAGUCCUUCACUGGACAAUACUUUGAACAAUGUACCUCAAAUCAAGUAGGACUACCCGCUGAACUUAA